This 957-nucleotide small RNA is filed under the name Pongo abelii (Sumatran orangutan). RNAcentral's name for it is "retained intron". Lineage: Eukaryota; Metazoa; Chordata; Mammalia; Primates; Hominidae. The record is from RNAcentral.
CUCGGUGCCCCCUGCAGCCCCCUCAGCCCUGGAGGAGGUGGAGAAAGAGGGCGCUGGGGCGGCUACAGGGCCGGGGCCUCAGCCCGGGCUCUACAGCUACAUCAGGGAUGACUUGUUUACCUCUGAGAUCUUCAAACUGGAGCUGCAGAACGUGCCUCGCCACGCCAGCUUCAGCGACGUCCGGCGCUUCCUGGGCCGCUUUGGUCUGCAGCCCCACAAAACCAAACUCUUUGGGCAACCACCCUGCGCCUUUGUGACAUUCCGCAGCGCUGCAGAGAGGGACAAGGCCCUGCGCGUUUUGCAUGGUGCCCUCUGGAAAGGCCGCCCACUCAGUGUGCGCCUGGCCCGGCCCAAGGCGGACCCCAUGGCCAGGAGGAGGCGACAGGAGGGUGAGAGUGAGCCACCAGUAACACGAGUGGCCGACGUGGUGACCCCUUUAUGGACAGUGCCCUAUGCUGAGCAGCUUGAGCGGAAGCAGCUGGAGUGCGAGCAGGUGCUGCAGAAACUUGCCAAGGAAAUCGGGAGCACCAACCGUGCCUUGCUGCCCUGGCUGCUUGAGCAGAGGCACAAGCACAACAAGGCCUGCUGCCCACUGGAGGGGGUCAGGCCAUCACCCCAGCAGGUCAGGCUAGACUUCGGUGGCCACAAACCCCUAUCCCGGGUUUUGAAAAACUUUGCUUUUGCUCACCCUUUCUGUUGAUCUCCCUGCUUUGUGUUUUCUUCUGGUAACUUAUCACAUAGUUGUCAGCUGUUCCUCUUGUUUGACUGCCAGCCCCUGUGGGGAAAUCAGGGUUUCCAGGCACAAGCGCUGGGCAGCCAGGGUAAGGUGCAGCUCUCUCCCUGCAGACUGAGUAUCGUAAUAAAUGUGAGUUUCUGGUUGGCGUCGGGGUGGAUGGGGAGGAUAACACCGUGGGCUGUCGGCUCGGCAAGUACAAGGGCGGGACGUGUGCUGUGGCA